UAAUACGUAGGGGGCGAGCGUUGUCCGGAUUUACUGGGCGUAAAGAGCGCGUAGGCGGUCUUGUAGGUUGGUUGUGAAAGGUGCGGGCUUAACCCGCAACGGUCAACCAAAACCACUCGACUUCGAGGGCAGUAGAGGAAGGUGGAAUUCCGGGUGUAGUGGUGAAAUGCGUAGAGAUCCGGAGGAACACCGGCGGCGAAGGCGGCCUUCUGGGCUGGCCCUGACGCUGAGGCGCGAAAGCGUGGGGAGCGAACUGAAUUAGAUACUCAGGUAGUCCACGCCCUCAAUCAUGGACACUAGGUGUGGGGGGUAUCGACCCCUCCCGUGCCGGCGCUAACGCAGUAAGUGUCCCGCCUGGGGAGUACGGCCGCAAGGCUA
Molecule: ribosomal RNA, 378 nt
Filed under: uncultured bacterium
Lineage: Bacteria
Description: bacterial SSU rRNA
Rfam family: Bacterial small subunit ribosomal RNA
Source: RNAcentral